GAUGAAGAACGGAGCGAAAUGCGAUAAGUAAUGUGAAUUGCAGAAUUCAGUGAAUCAUCGAAUCUUUGAACGCACAUUGCGCCCGCCAGUAUUCUGGCGGGCAUGCCUGUUCGAGCGUCAUUUCAACCAUCAAGCCCCAGGCUUGUGUUGGGGACCUGCGGCUGCCGCAGGCCCUGAAAACCAGUGGCGGGCUCGCUGUCACACCGGGCGUAGUAGAUUUUAUCUCGCUCAGGGCGUGCUGCGGGUUCCGGCCGUUAAAAAGCCUUUUUUACCCAAGGUUGACCUCGGAUCAGGCAGGAAGACCCGCUGAACUUAAGCAUAUCAAUAAGCGGAGGA
Molecule: unclassified non-coding RNA, 336 nt
Filed under: soil metagenome
Description: partial contains 5.8S ribosomal RNA, internal transcribed spacer 2, and large subunit ribosomal RNA
Rfam family: 5.8S ribosomal RNA (bases 1-120)
Source: RNAcentral